GAUGAAGAACGCAGCGAAAUGCGAUAAGUAAUGUGAAUUGCAGAAUUCAGUGAAUCAUCGAAUCUUUGAACGCACAUUGCGCCCCCUGGAAUUCCGGGGGGCAUGCCUGUUCGAGCGUCUCAGGGACGAACCCUCGCGCGGGUGUACGCGCGGUCGUGGCUGCGGUGGCGUGCCCGAGGCGGCGGCCACCGCGCUGGAAUCCAUGGGCGGACGCCUGCCGCGUGGCCGAGCGUGAUAUGACGCAUUGGCGCUCGCACGCGGAGAGGCUGCCAGCCCUGGCCCGUCUGUCGGGCGGGGGAGAGCAAGACACGUGAACUCCUCGAAUCAGGUAGGGAUACCCGCUGAACUUAAGCAUAUCAAUAAGCGGAGA
Molecule: unclassified non-coding RNA, 370 nt
Filed under: soil metagenome
Description: partial contains 5.8S ribosomal RNA, internal transcribed spacer 2, and large subunit ribosomal RNA
Rfam family: 5.8S ribosomal RNA (bases 1-120)
Source: RNAcentral